Molecule: long non-coding RNA, 540 nt
Organism: Cyphomyrmex costatus
Lineage: Eukaryota; Metazoa; Arthropoda; Insecta; Hymenoptera; Formicidae
Exons: 3
Source: RefSeq, a predicted model, not a curated record
AAGCUGUCAGUCCGGAGUGACUUUACAAUUAGUACGGGCAAUAUUGAAUUGAGUUAAUCCGCAUCAACUCGCCUUCUGAUUAAAUAAAAUAAGCAAGCGUUGAAUUCAUUCAAUCGAUGGUAAUAAUUUCGCCAGAUAAUACAAGAAAAUAAAGCAAUUAGUUCUCUCAUAUACUUGCACCUUCACAACUGACACAUAAUAUUUACCAAAUGUCUUAUUUACGGGCAAUUCAAAAAAUACCGGGCAAUACUGCCAAUGAGAAAUUAUGUUGGAUCGGAAGAUUGGCUUUGUACCAGACCAGUAGCGAUCUUGAACAACUUCCACCAGAAUUACUGCCUAUAUUAAAUGUAGAAACUGCCAUCAAAAAAAAGAAACAUGAAGAUAUAACAUUUGCUCUUAAGUGCGAAGACUCAGCGAUAAUAAACCGUGCCUUUAAAGCCUUUUGGUUUUUUGAUGGUAGCCAUAAAGAAAUUGUUAACGUCAGGUAUUUUUUCGAACAUCUUUUCCCUUACGUUUCUAUAAACACAAGAACACGUAUUG